CCACGUUCCGCAUCACCGCUGCCCUUUAAACAAUUCUUGCACUCCUUCCUAGACCCCUUGACUGCAGCAGGGUUCCUGUUCACUUCUGCCGGAGAGGGACACUCAUCUGCAGCUGGGAUAGGAGAGGAGAAAGGAAGGGGUUACUCUCGGCAACAGCUGCGGCAGACGCAUGGUAACAGCAAACAGCAGACCCGGCUUCCGCUUGAGGGUUCAGGUGUCUUCCUAGGAAUCACCUAGCGUGCUUCUGCCAUCUGCCAAGGUCGUUGGCGACUGCUUCCCUGCUUGUGAGUUUCCUGGAGCAGCUUCUUCAUCGUACCUGGCUCCUGCAACCCUUCCAGAGGGUGCCCAGGAACAUCUUGCAUGAAGGAGUUGGCAUCACGGCUGAGCUCUGGGGCUGGAAUCCAGCCCCGAAGACUGUGGUCCUUUCUUUGUCGACACCGUACUGUCUUCUGCAACCGGAAGCCCGGCUUCUGAUGCCCUCUGGUUCCCAUCAUUCUUCCGUGUGUUUUCGCCUGCUGACCCGUUUUCCAGCACAUCAGGACAACACCGACUGAGCUUGUCAGCUUCCGCCAACCAGUAGCAUGAUGCCGGACUCAGACGCUUCUCUCUGCC
RNAcentral lists this long non-coding RNA (612 nucleotides) under Mustela putorius furo (domestic ferret). RNAcentral's name for it is "lncRNA (ENSMPUG00000026717.1)". The record is from RNAcentral. Lineage: Eukaryota; Metazoa; Chordata; Mammalia; Carnivora; Mustelidae.